AUUGAACGCUGGCGGCAGGCCUAACACAUGCAAGUCGAGCGAGAGGCGGACGGGUGAGUAAUGUAUGGGGACUGCCCGAUAGAGGGGGAUAACUACUGGAAACGGUGGAUAAUACCGCAUACGAUCGGAUAACACAUAUGGGAUUAGCUAGUAGGUGGGGUAAAGGCUCACCUAGGCGACGAUCUCUAGCUGUUCUGAUUGGAUGAACAGCCACACUGUGACUGAUACCCGGCCCAGACUCCUACGGAGGCAGCAGGGGGGAAUAUUGCACAAUGGGCGCAAGCCUUAUGCAGCCAUGCCGCGUGUAUGACGAAGGCCUUAGGGUUUUAAAGUACUUUCAGCGGGGAGGCGUUACCCGCAGAAGAAGCACCGGCUAACUCCGUGCCAGCCGCCGCGGUAAUUC
Molecule: ribosomal RNA, 403 nt
Filed under: uncultured bacterium
Lineage: Bacteria
Description: partial 16S ribosomal RNA
Rfam family: Bacterial small subunit ribosomal RNA
Source: RNAcentral